RNAcentral lists this long non-coding RNA (2107 nucleotides) under Homo sapiens (human). RNAcentral's name for it is "HSALNT0295524". Lineage: Eukaryota; Metazoa; Chordata; Mammalia; Primates; Hominidae. The record is from RNAcentral.
CUGUAAGGCAUAAGAAGUUAAAAGCAAGAUCUCCCUGGCAUUUUCCAGGAAUUUGAAAUAGGUACAUGAGGAGAGAAGCUCAAUUAUUACCCAGGUCUCUGGGACUAUCCCAGGCACAAUCCCAAGAGUCCAGCUUUCCAAACCAGGGUCCCUGGGUUCUGAAGGCCUUUUUGGGGAAAGUACUGAUGUUCGUGUCAAGGUUGGGAGGAAGGGUUUGGAAGGCCCCAGGCGAUGGGAAGGCAAAGAGAAGGUAUCAAGAAGCAAGGCAAGAACUUUCCACAGGUUCACGUUGGAUACAGCACCGGAGACAAGAAACUGAGUGAAUUUCUGGUGUUUUCUUACAGAGGUUUGUUAUCCAGUUGUACAGAGUCUAUUUCAGAAUAAGUCUUUUUCAAAUCAGCUCUUUUAAUGUGAAGCCAUAACUUUCUGGUGUUGCCUGAUGCAAAUCUCUAAUGUGAGCCUUUGCCCUGGGUGUCCUUUUUGUUAAUUACAUGUUCCAAAGAGAACACGGUAAAAAUCUUGACUCCUCUUCCCAUCUCCCGAUCUUACCUUUUUCCAUGUAAAGGCCGCAGUUUUUGCUAGCAGGAGGCGUCAGUGGUUUUAGUGGUGGAAUUCCUGCCUCCCAUGCACGAGAUCCGUGUUCAACUCCUGGUUGGUGCAGCGUGCAGUUUCCGCACAAUGCGGUUUUUACAUUUAUUUACCAUAACUGUGUAUACUCAGGCAGGUCACAGCCGCAAUAAUAAACAGAAGGAAAAGGGAACUACUGUAUAGCUUUCCAGUUCCUUCUGGAGUGGAAUUUCUCUAAGCAAGGACUUCGCAGAGACUGUCUUUGAAGCAGCUAGUGUGUCUGGUUGGUCUCUGCGUUUGCAUAUUUGGCCCUAAAACCGACGGGACGUUUAUUGUCUCUUCUGGCGGAUCCCUGAAAUACACAGUCACCUGGACACUGAUUUCACUGACUGGACCUUGGACAGACCACGUAUCGCGGUGGAGUGAGGCUCAAGAAAGGAGAGAAGCUGUGGGGUCGGACAGACACACGCAGUGGGGAAGGGGCAGUGGGUACGGGGGCCCAGGGACAGGGGAGGCGUGUGGGAAGGAACCCGCACGCAGAUGAGGGGAGCUGCAGAGAGGGACCUCGGAUCUUCCUGUCGAGGAAGGCCCAGUCUUUGGUGGUAUCGGCAAAAUGAAGGAUGGGCCCCAAGUGGAGAGCAGCACGUCCCCAAAACUCAUUUCGAUUACCCCUGUUUUAUACUCCACCAAGCAAAUCUUCUAUCUAGGGGAUUCUUUGUAAUACGUCUCUUUAAGCAUCGUGCUGGAGAGGCCAUGACAAUCAUUACCUCUGGAGAUUUGCGGAGGAAAGCUGGAAAAGGAAAGCCCCGGGAUCAUCUGGUUUGUCCUCCCCUGUUUUCAUCUACUCUUUUCCUCAGGGAAGCUUAUAUUGUGUCCAGGAGUCGCAUCGCAGCUGCGUCACUGGUGGAUUAAGAUCCGCUGAUGGCGGGGCGUGGUGGAUCACCCCUGUAAUCCCAGCACUUUGGGAGGCCGAGGCGGGCGGAUCGCAAGGUCAGGAGAUCCAGACCAUCCUGGUCAACAUGGUGAAACCCCAUCCCUACCAAAAAUACAAAAAAUUAGCUGGGCGUGGUGGUGCGCGCCUGUAGUCCCAGCUACUCGGGAGGCUGAGGAAGGAGAAUCGCUGGAACCCGGGAGGCGGAGGUUGCAGUGAGCCGAGAUCGCACCACUGCACUCCAGCCUGGCCACAGAGCGACACUCCGUCUCAAAAAAUAAACAGCCGCUGACAAAUCUCUUUCGUGAAGGGGUAAGAGCCGCAGUUGGCCCAUAGCAAGGGAGUCAGAAGCAAGAGCAGAACCGAAAAUACUUUUCUCUAUGUCGUUCUCUCUCUCCUACCUGUGAACAUCAACCUUCCACACACACCGGUUCAAAACCGCCUUGGUCUCUAAGGGAGAUUUACCAUUUUUCACAGGUCCCGUAAGCCAUGUUUCCUUCUUGCUUCUACAGUUUUUCCAGGGCUGAGUUUCAGGAGCUGGUCAGCAGUGCAGGCUACUUCAAUAUCCUGGUUCAAAACCAUUUGUCUGGUUUUGCUAGUAAAGUGCCU